GGCGAACGGGUGAGUAACACGUGGGCAAUCUGCCCUGCACUCUGGGACAAGCCCUGGAAACGGGGUCUAAUACCGGAUGACACCCCCUCUCGCAUGGGAGGGGGUUGAAAGCUCCGGCGGUGCAGGAUGAGCCCGCGGCCUAUCAGCUUGUUGGUGAGGUAGAAGCUCACCAAGGCGACGACGGGUAGCCGGCCUGAGAGGGCGACCGGCCACACUGGGACUGAGACACGGCCCAGACUCCUACGGGAGGCAGCAGUGGGGAAUAUUGCACAAUGGGCGAAAGCCUGAUGCAGCGACGCCGCGUGAGGGAUGACGGCCUUCGGGUUGUAAACCUCUUUCAGCAGGGAAGAAGCGAAAGUGACGGUACCUGCAGAAGAAGCGCCGGCUAACUACGUGCCAGCAGCCGCGGUAAUACGUAGGGCGCAAGCGUUGUCCGGAAUUAUUGGGCGUAAAGAGCUCGUAGGCGGCUUGU
This 472-nucleotide ribosomal RNA is filed under the name Streptomyces aureus. Its description in RNAcentral is "bacterial SSU rRNA". It matches the Rfam family "Bacterial small subunit ribosomal RNA", at positions 97 to 583 of the family's 1533-position model. The record is from RNAcentral. Lineage: Bacteria; Bacillati; Actinomycetota; Actinomycetes; Kitasatosporales; Streptomycetaceae.